RNAcentral lists this long non-coding RNA (512 nucleotides) under Nicotiana benthamiana. RNAcentral's name for it is "long non-coding RNA (NBEN_LNC028598)". The record is from RNAcentral. Lineage: Eukaryota; Viridiplantae; Streptophyta; Magnoliopsida; Solanales; Solanaceae.
UAAUCUACUAAAGAGUCUGACUGAAAUAUCAUAGAUGUGGAAAAUACUUAAACGUCUGCAAGUAUAAACAAGUAGCCGACAAGGCUAACACAUGAAGACAUCUUAAUGUCUGACUGACUGGGUUAUAGUCUACGAAGCCUCUAAAGAAUACUGAAAAUGCUAACUGUUUACCGGUACAAGGUCUCCAGUAUACCUUAUUAACUAAAAUACUAGAAUGAUUAAAACAAAAGAGAGAUACGACCCCGAAAGACUGGGGCUCACUUAUAGCUGAUACGAGAUAUCCUAGCAAGCAGAAUCGUGAACCUGAAAAUCGUUACCUACAUCGCGAGAUGCAGGCCCCGGGCAAAAGGGACGCCAGUAGAUUUGAAGUGCACUGAUAUGUAAAAUAACUGAAGAAAAGAACUGUAAAUACUGAAAUUGAAACUAAACUGCUAGAUGAUAAACUGAUAACUGAACAAGGAAGUAAGGAUAUGAACUCCCUCUGCUGAAUGAUGAACAACCUAUUUAUCUAA